Molecule: small nucleolar RNA, 106 nt
Filed under: Olea europaea subsp. europaea
Lineage: Eukaryota; Viridiplantae; Streptophyta; Magnoliopsida; Lamiales; Oleaceae
Description: Plant small nucleolar RNA R71
Rfam family: Plant small nucleolar RNA R71
About the family: R71 is a member of the C/D box family of snoRNAs containing the C (UGAUGA) and D (CUGA) box motifs. Multiple nearly identical copies of this snoRNA have been identified in Arabidopsis, and it is thought to function as a 2'-O-ribose methylation guide for 18S ribosomal RNA.
Source: Rfam by way of RNAcentral
AUGUCAAGGUUAGGACACUUCAUCAAAUAGUCAUUGAAUCUUUCUCAUGCUUCUGAGCAACUCUCGAGAUCUUUCUGCUUGAGAGUGUAUACUUCAUUCCUAAUCU